Molecule: ribosomal RNA, 677 nt
Filed under: uncultured bacterium
Lineage: Bacteria
Description: bacterial SSU rRNA
Rfam family: Bacterial small subunit ribosomal RNA
Source: RNAcentral
UCGAUUAGAGUUUGAUUCUGGCUCAGAAUCAACGCUGGCGGCGUGCCUAACACAUGCAAGUCGAACGAGAAAGUGGAGCAAUCCAUGAGUACAGUGGCGUACGGGUGAGUAACACGUGACUAACCUACCCUCGAGUGGGGAAUAACCUCGGGAAACCGGGGCUAAUACCGCAUAACAUCUUCGGAUCAAAUGCGUAAGCAGCUUGAGGAGGGGGUCGCGGCCGAUUAGCUAGUUGGUGAGGUAAUGGCUCACCAAGGCGAUGAUCGGUAGCCGGCCUGAGAGGGCGCACGGCCACACUGGAACUGAAACACGGUCCAGACUCCUACGGGAGGCAGCAGUGGGGAAUUUUGCGCAAUGGGGGAAACCCUGACGCAGCAACGCCGCGUGGAGGAUGAAGCCCCUUGGGGUGUAAACUCCUUUCGAUCGGGACGAUUAUGACGGUACCGGAUGAAGAAGCACCGGCUAACUCUGUGCCAGCAGCCGCGGUAAUACAGAGGGUGCAAGCGUUGUUCGGAAUUACUGGGCGUAAAGCGCACGUAGGCGGAUCUUUAAGUCAGGGGUGAAAUGCCGAGGCUCAACUUCGGAACUGCCUUUGAUACUGGGGAUCUUGAGUUCGGGAGAGGUGAGUGGAACUGCGAGUGUAGAGGUGAAAUUCNUNNNUAUUCGCAAGAACACCA